This 497-nucleotide ribosomal RNA is filed under the name uncultured bacterium. Its description in RNAcentral is "partial 16S ribosomal RNA". It matches the Rfam family "Bacterial small subunit ribosomal RNA", at positions 28 to 507 of the family's 1533-position model. The record is from RNAcentral.
GAUGAACGCUGGCGGCGUGCCUAAUACAUGCAAGUCGAGCGAACAGACGAGAAGCUUGCUUCUCUGAUGUUAGCGGCGGACGGGUGAGUAACACGUGGAUAACCUACCUAUAAGACUGGGAUAACUUCGGGAAACCGGAGCUAAUACCGGAUAAUAUUUUGAACCGCAUGGUUCAAUAGUGAAAGACGGUCUUGCUGUCACUUAUAGAUGGAUCCGCGCUGCAUUAGCUAGUUGGUAAGGUAACGGCUUACCAAGGCAACGAUGCGUAGCCGACCUGAGGGGGUGAUCGGCCACACUGGAACUGAGACACGGUCCAGACUCCUACGGGAGGCAGCAGUAGGGAAUCUUCCGCAAUGGGCGAAAGCCUGACGGAGCAACGCCGCGUGAGUGAUGAAGGUCUUCGGAUCGUAAAACUCUGUUAUUAGGGAAGAACAAAUGUGUAAGUAACUGUGCACAUCUUGACGGUACCUAAUCAGAAAGCCACGGCUAACUACGUG